This is a non-coding RNA of Peromyscus maniculatus bairdii (prairie deer mouse), 389 nucleotides long. Lineage: Eukaryota; Metazoa; Chordata; Mammalia; Rodentia; Cricetidae. The record is from RefSeq and is a predicted model, not a curated record.
CAUGGGUGUGUCCUGCUGUGCAGACUGUAUCACCAGUUCUGUUUGCUGUUUAUGUGGAGAUCUGGCAUGAGACUCUGCCAUGGUCCUUGGCGCUGCUCUUCUUGGACUUGGGUUUUUAAUGGCACAGAAGAUUUGGGCACAAUAUGGGCAACCACCCCAGCCUUCCAUCUGGGCAGUUCCAGGAGCUGUGAUUUCCACAGGCAGUGCUGUGACCAUCUUCUGCAGGGCUCCUCCAGGAGUGAUCAGAGUAUGUCUAAUCCAUUAUGUACCGGAUGGAAAUUGGUUUGAUUGCACCCCACAGGGAGCCCAGGAGGUGUUUGAAUUCAGUCUGAAGAAUAUGACACACAGAAAUGCUGGAUUUUACUACUGUGACUACUUCAACGGAAGUG